RNAcentral lists this ribosomal RNA (253 nucleotides) under uncultured bacterium. Its description in RNAcentral is "partial 16S ribosomal RNA". It matches the Rfam family "Bacterial small subunit ribosomal RNA", at positions 524 to 776 of the family's 1533-position model. The record is from RNAcentral.
UACGUAGGGUGCGAGCGUUGUCCGGAUUUAUUGGGCGUAAAGGGCUCGUAGGCGGCCUGUCGCGUCGGGAGUGAAAGCCCACUGCUUAACGGUGGGUCUGCUUCUGGUACGGGCGGGCUGGAGUAUGGCAGGGGAGACUGGAAUUCCUGGUGUAGCGGUGGAAUGCGCAGAUAUCAGGAGGAACACCGGUGGCGAAGGCGGGUCUCUGGGCCAUUACUGACGCUGAGGAGCGAAAGCGUGGGGAGCGAACAGG